Homo sapiens (human) is the source of this 285-nucleotide long non-coding RNA. RefSeq lists it as uncharacterized. Lineage: Eukaryota; Metazoa; Chordata; Mammalia; Primates; Hominidae. The transcript has 2 exons. The record is from RefSeq and is a predicted model, not a curated record.
AUCACAAGGUCAAGAGAUCGAGACCAUCCUGUCCAAUCUGUCGCAGGUGGCGUGAUUUGAUUUGUGUGAAGGCAAUGAAAUGAUACACAGAUACACCGAAGCCUCCCAAAAGAAUCCUGGUUCCAAGACUCAAGAAGAUGGAUUAAUGUUUUUCCAUUAAUUGUUGGAAUUUAUGCCAUUUUUUACUAUGUGCCAUCAAUUUUAAAGCACUUCUGAAAAGACAUAACAAUCUAAAUGAGAUGGCAUUUUAAAUUCAUAAAAAUAUAGUAUUUUCCUCAACUUUUA